UAGGGAAUCUUCCACAAUGGGCGCAAGCCUGAUGGAGCAACGCCGCGUGAGUGAAGAAGGGUUUAAAGCUCGUAAAACUCUGUUGUUAAAGAAGAACAUAUCUGAGAGUAACUGUUCAGGUAUUGACGGNNNGCAACCAGAAAGCCACGGCUAACUACGUG
RNAcentral lists this ribosomal RNA (161 nucleotides) under Uncultured bacterium OL3_18G. RNAcentral describes it as "partial 16S ribosomal RNA". It matches the Rfam family "Bacterial small subunit ribosomal RNA", at positions 355 to 507 of the family's 1533-position model. The record is from RNAcentral.